CAAAUAAAUAUUUAUUUGCCGUAGACCGUUGGUGCCUGAGUGCUUAAUGGGAAACCGCCAACCGAGGCAAGGCUUAAGGAAGAAAAACCCAAGGCCGCCGUGUGUCUACGGCGGCCUUAAUUGCUUUCGAG
This is a regulatory RNA element of Carboxydothermus hydrogenoformans Z-2901, 131 nucleotides long. It matches the Rfam family "Ribosomal protein L10 leader". Rfam says of the family: This family is a putative r-protein leader autoregulatory structure found in B. subtilis and other low-GC Gram-positive bacteria. It is located in the 5' untranslated regions of mRNAs encoding ribosomal proteins L10 and L12 (rplJ-rplL). The record is from Rfam. NCBI's taxonomy places the organism in Bacteria, Bacillati, Bacillota, Clostridia, Thermoanaerobacterales, Thermoanaerobacteraceae.